CCUACGGGUGGCAGCAGUGAGGAAUAUUGGACAAUGGCCGAGAGGCUGAACCAGCGAAGUCGCGUGAGGGAAGAAUGUCCUAUGGAUUGUAAACCUCUUUUGUCAGGGAGCAAAGUCACCAACGUGUAGGAGUUGGGGAGUACCUGAAGAAAACGCAUCGGCUAACUCCGUGCCAGCAGCCGCGGUAAGACGGAGGAUGCGAGCGUUAUCCGGAUUUGUUGGGUUGAAAGGGUGCGUAGGCGGGUUAUCAAGUCAGCGGUAAAAUCGUGGGGCUCAACUCCAUCCAGCCGUUGAUACUGCUGGACUUGAGUGAGCGAGAGGUAUGCGGAAUGCGCGGUGUAGCGGUGAAAUGCAUAGAUAUCACGCAGAACACCGAUUGCGAAGGCAGCAUACCGGCGCCCGACUGACGCUGAGGCACGAAAGCGUGGGUAGCGAACAGGAUUAGAUACCCGGGUAGUC
This 459-nucleotide ribosomal RNA is filed under the name uncultured bacterium. RNAcentral describes it as "partial 16S ribosomal RNA". It matches the Rfam family "Bacterial small subunit ribosomal RNA", at positions 338 to 795 of the family's 1533-position model. The record is from RNAcentral.